This is a long non-coding RNA of Olea europaea var. sylvestris, 542 nucleotides long. RefSeq lists it as uncharacterized. Lineage: Eukaryota; Viridiplantae; Streptophyta; Magnoliopsida; Lamiales; Oleaceae. The record is from RefSeq and is a predicted model, not a curated record. The transcript is spliced from 3 exons.
UCAUUUCAUACACACACACACCAACUGAAAACGGGAGAAGGAAGUAGAAAAAUCGGGAAAGAAAAAAAAGAAAGAGGGAAGGAAAAAAAGAAAAGAAAAAGAAGGGAGGAGGAAAGAGAAGGAAAACAAGGAAAGGGUUUUGAUUUGUUGGUGUAAAGUUCAAAUUUAACAGAGAUGAGUACAAAAUUGAAGCUCUAGUUUCUUGAUUCUCUAAUUGCCAUUUACAUUAAGAUAGUAGCUGAGUAGAGCAAUUUUGGAGCCUAUCGAACCAUCGAAUUGAGCCAUGCUUCAUAGAUUGUGUGACAUCAUUUAUUAGAUUAUACAUUAUGUGUUCUUUUGGGAUACAUGUAGUUUAAAUCAGAAAAGUUCAUUAUGGGCUCAUUAGAUAUUUGGUAUCUUUAGUAUAUUUGAAUAUUGUUGGUUGUAAAGCAAGUAAAUGCUGGUUUGUCAACAUUUUAUUUAAAUAGUUUGUAUUUUGAGGGAUUGACGUACCUUGAUUUAUAUUAUAGAUACUGAUUUGAGGAAAAUUGGUAAUUGUUCAA